This 410-nucleotide unclassified non-coding RNA is filed under the name fungal sp. RNAcentral's name for it is "partial internal transcribed spacer region". The stretch from base 1 to 46 matches the Rfam family "Eukaryotic small subunit ribosomal RNA", at positions 1786 to 1831 of the family's 1831-position model. The record is from RNAcentral. Lineage: Eukaryota; Fungi.
AAGUCGUAACAAGGUUUCCGUAGGUGAACCUGCGGAAGGAUCAUUAACACGUAUCCAAACGUUAAACCCCCCUGUGAACCUUCACCUGUACUCGUACGUCCGUUAGAAAAAGCAGCAAUCCCUGGUAAAUCAUCGCCGAACAGUUUUCGAUUCAGGGACGUCUGCAAGGAGCGUGCAUGUUGUGCGAAGCAAGUGGCCUGGCAUCCCCAAGCAGUUAGUGUCUGAAAGUGUCACUAACAUGUGUAAGGAUGACGCAGUCACGAUCGUUGGAGGCCCACACGGCCGACGACCGGGUCACCGGGUGCAAGCCCCCUUAUCACACCCCUGCUCUAUCUAUGGUGAUCCUGCGGGAAGUCCUGCGGUCGAACGCCGAAACCGAACAACUGUUAACAAUGGAUAUCUUGGUUCUC